CUCUCUUUACUACUUUCAGAAAUUUCAAUACACUUAUUCAAAUCAAAAGCAGACUGACUCUCACAAUUGUCAUUCACAUUUUUAGCAAUGGCACUCAAAUAAGCUCCCUAAGUAAAAAAAGAAAACUUAAUAAACAUUUCAUUAACCAUACACAACUAAUAAUAACAUAACAAAUACAAAAAUAAUGUGAUAACAAUAAAUAAGCAAAAAGUAACUUACAUCA
RNAcentral lists this long non-coding RNA (223 nucleotides) under Manihot esculenta (cassava). RNAcentral's name for it is "long non-coding RNA (MESC_LNC007283)". The record is from RNAcentral. Lineage: Eukaryota; Viridiplantae; Streptophyta; Magnoliopsida; Malpighiales; Euphorbiaceae.